Non-coding RNA from Schistosoma margrebowiei, 48 nucleotides. Lineage: Eukaryota; Metazoa; Platyhelminthes; Trematoda; Strigeidida; Schistosomatidae. The record is from Rfam.
AUCCAGAUGACGAGUCCCAAAUUGGACGAAACGCGCGUCAAAUUGUAU